AUGCCGGAACCACCACGUCCGUGCGCCGUUCCACGUUAUAAACCGCCCCCCGCGCCCCACAGAAACACCCGAAGCCAGGCAAGGCAACCUCCCUCUGCCCCAGACACGCUCACGAGGUCCGUGCGCUCUCUCGAUCGCAUGGCCGCGCCCGCAACCAACCUCCGGCGCGCGGAGCUGUGCGCCGCCGCCGUGUCGGCCGCGGACGCGGCGUCGUGGUGGUGCGCCGUGGCGCUCGUCGCGCUCGUGCUGCUGGGCGCGCUCAGCGCGGAGACCGCGGACGAAGAUGGGGAAGGCGCCGCGGCGGCGUACUUCCGCGGCCCGCGGCUCGGCGGCGCGGCGGCCCGGCCGUGCGACGGGGUGUACGUGGUCGGGGAAGGCGAGACGCUGCACACCAUCAGCGACAAGUGCGGGGACCCGUUCAUCGUGGAGAGGAACCCGCACGUGCACGACCCCGACGACGUCUUCCCGGGGCUCGUCCUCGCGCUCCGGCCGACCAAGAACACCUAA
Molecule: ribosomal RNA, 507 nt
Filed under: Triticum aestivum (bread wheat)
Lineage: Eukaryota; Viridiplantae; Streptophyta; Magnoliopsida; Poales; Poaceae
Description: partial small subunit ribosomal RNA
Source: RNAcentral